Long non-coding RNA from Oncorhynchus masou masou (cherry salmon), 795 nucleotides. RefSeq lists it as uncharacterized. NCBI's taxonomy places the organism in Eukaryota, Metazoa, Chordata, Actinopteri, Salmoniformes, Salmonidae. The transcript has 3 exons. The record is from RefSeq and is a predicted model, not a curated record.
AUCAACUGCCAUUAGUUUCUUCCUGGAGUCUGUAGAGAAACUUGGCUUUCCAUUAAGGUAACCGCAUCAUUCCCUCAGUAAGUGCUGUGUAGAAUCAGGCACUUGUUUGUAUAUGGUCUCGAAUCAAACCAUAUGCCAGGUCUGCCUGAGGCCUUGUCUAUCAAGACAAAUAUAUAUUUAUGUUGACCAAGUUUCAUACAUCACAGAGGAGAGUGACUGAAUUACACCUUGAAAUAUGACGAACAAUUGUCUUUAUUAUAAUCCCAGUGUCUGUCUGUCAGCAUCUAGGGUGAGGACAGACUAAGGAGUGGAGAAUGUGGACAUCCCAAGAUGCAUGUUUCAUGUCUGUGGUUGUGGCAGGGGAAGCUUUAUCUCUGUUUGGAAGAUGAGGGCUCCCUUGAAGGCUGUUUGACGGGUCACCUAUUCUGUGCGCACUGUGUGCCUCCAAGCAGACCUAGACACCUUUACCAAUGGAUGGGAUAAACACCCUCUGCACACCGAGCAAAAUCUGACCCCCAACCAGCUAUGAGAAAGUACAGAAUCCUGUCACAUUCCCUGGAAAUGUUGAGGAUUUAAACAGCUUGGACGAUGCCUGCCUGCUGGAGGAGCAUGGCCAGGGAAUUGAGGUCCCACCAGUGGAGUGCCCAGGAUAUAACACUGCUCAAAGCAGCCAUUGACCCAACCUCACCAUCUCGAGACUAUGGACAAGAUAUUUAUGCAUCUGUUUUGAAGUAUGUGCUGCUACAUUUGGCUGUAUUAUCCUUAUACCGCUGCUUGAUACUGUCGCAAGGAAUA